GCACGGUUAGGUUUCGGCCUGGCAGUGGCGGACGGGUGAGUAUCGCGUAGGAACGUAUCCUUGGGUGGGGGAUAACCGUGGGAAACUACGGCUAAUACCGCAUGAAGCUUGAGGGCCAAAGGCAGUGAUGUUGCCUGGGGAGCGGCCUGCGUACGAUUAGCUAGUUGGUUGGGUAAUGGCUGACCAAGGCGACGAUCGUUAGCUGGUCUGAGAGGAUGAUCAGCCACACUGGGACUGAGACACGGCCCAGACUCCUACGGGAGGCAGCAGUGGGGAAUAUUGGACAAUGGGCGAAAGCCUGAUCCAGCAAUGCCGCGUGGGUGAAGAAGGUUUUCGGAUUGUAAAGCCCUUUCGGCGGGGACGAUGAUGACGGUACCCGCAGAAGAAGCUCCGGCUAACUUCGUGC
Molecule: ribosomal RNA, 406 nt
Filed under: uncultured bacterium
Lineage: Bacteria
Description: bacterial SSU rRNA
Rfam family: Bacterial small subunit ribosomal RNA
Source: RNAcentral